GGCGGGUGCUCACUAGCCGAACUGACGAACGGAGUUGUGAUCACACCUGCCUGUGUACGGAACUAAAACAGUCAAAGAAAAUGAUUGAAAGAGAAAAAUAGGUGAAAUUAAAGAUUCAGCGAACGAAUAUUAUUAUGAACAGUCAACGAAUAUUACUAUGAAAAUGGGAAGUGCGCGGAGAUUGUUCAGAGUUCGUGAUAGUAAGCCCACAUAGUAAAGUUGUAUGAGACGAGAAUUCCUUGUCCUGUGGAGAGCCCAUAGAACACUAGCGUGUUUUCGUGUUACGUUAAGUUUGACUCAAAAAUGGCUAAGGGUUGCUUUUGUACUUCUAUCUACAUCAUGACGACCAAUUCAUGUUUGCUCCAUUAUUAAACUUCCCAUAAGGCUAUUUGUCAACGAAUUUUUCUUUUAAAUGAUUGAUCGACAUUUUCAAAAAUUUGUAAUGAAUAUGACCUUAAUGAGAUUAUUGUUAUUCUGUAUAAUUACCAAACUCGCCACUUUUUUUAAAGGCUCACUGUUGGUAGUAGUAGCACAAUUCUCAUACAGCUUAGAGGUUUCUACUGAAACCUAAGAUUGUUAUUAUAAUAUUUGCAGCUAUUUGCCUCACUCGCCUAGCGUGAAAUGUCUUCGACAUCAAAAUCACCGUGUCGUUGUCCGUGGCUAUAAUUUGUGUCUCACAGUGUUGGCCACAUUGUUUCUCUCACGUCAUAUUUGUGAACGAUCUGACUUCUCUAACGAAACAAGCCUGGGCGUGGUCAGUACCACACAUCGUCUACUUGUUUUGUAAGUCUGUCUCUCCUGAUUUCAGCAUUGUAACUUCUGUUUGUUUAAAAUAUCAACACGCAAUUCCUUGGCUCGUCGUUUGUCCCUUUCCUUCUUUGUUUCCAAAUAACUAUCACUGUUGUGUAAGCUGGGAUCAGUAAAUACCGCGAGGACAGUGUCGGGCUGUUUGUGGAAUCAGCUACAUGUACCAGAGUAAAUACGUUUUGAUGAUCCGCCAAAUGUUUGCAAAUGAAGGAACAUGUGAUUACUUCAAAUCUUUACUGGAAUGAGUGAUUUAUUAGAGUGAAAGUCAUUUACAUUUGUUUCCAAAUGCAUACUAAUUUGAUUGUGUCAGGUGUAGAAACGAUGAUUGAAAAAAGAAUGUGUGGACUUUAUAAGUGUUAGUGUGUACUGUGUGUGAGGAAAAGAAA
Molecule: long non-coding RNA, 1193 nt
Organism: Aplysia californica (California sea hare)
Lineage: Eukaryota; Metazoa; Mollusca; Gastropoda; Aplysiida; Aplysiidae
Exons: 2
Source: RefSeq, a predicted model, not a curated record